AAAGUCUCUUACAGCAAAAGGAGUAGCAACCCAUGCUGACCUCGAGUCAUGCGUGUGCACGGGCAACUGUGCAGGCGAAGCGUUGACAGGGGCACGUGCGGGCCAGGUAUUGAGCCGCGAAAGUAAAAAUUGACUUCGGGGGGCCCACGGCGUCGUGUGUUCGGAAGGCAACAUGGAACCGUUCGCUAUUUGCGAGAGCAGUUCCACCCCCGCGUGGUCCUAGACCC
Molecule: non-coding RNA, 227 nt
Organism: Rhodopirellula sp. SWK7
Lineage: Bacteria; Pseudomonadati; Planctomycetota; Planctomycetia; Pirellulales; Pirellulaceae
Source: Rfam